CCCUUCCGUAGGUGAACCUGCGGAAGGAUCAUUAACGAAUAUCUAUGGCGUUGGUUGUAGCUGGCUCCUAGGAGCAUUGUGCACGCCCGUCAUUCAUAUCAUCUUUCCACCUGUGAACCAUGUGUAGGCCUGGAUACCCCUCGCUUUGGCAACAAAGCGGAUGCAAGGAUUGCUGCGUCGACAAGGCCGGCUCUCUUUGAAUUUCCAGGUUCUAUGUCUUUUACACACCCCAUUUGAAUGAUUUAGAAUGUAGUCAAUGGGCUUUCAUGCCUAUAAAAAACUAUACAACUUUCAGCAACGGAUCUCUUGGCUCUCGCAUCGAUGAAGAACGCAGCGAAAUGCGAUAAGUAAUGUGAAUUGCAGAAUUCAGUGAAUCAUCGAAUCUUUGAACGCACCUUGCGCUCCUUGGUAUUCCGAGGAGCAUGCCUGUUUGAGUGUCAUUAAAUUCUCAACCUCACCAGUUUUGUAACGAGACAGGUGAAGGCUUGGAUGUGGGGGUUUUGCAGGCUGCCUCAGUGCUGGUCUGCUCUCCUGAAAUGCAUUAGCGAGCUCAUAUUGAGCUUCCGUCUAUUGGUGUGAUAAUUAUCUACGCCGUGGAUUGGACUCAUGCUUGCUUCUAACCGUCCGCAAGGACAAUUUACUUGACCAAUUUGACCUCAAAUCAGGUAGGACUACCCGCUGAACUUAAGCAUAUCAAUAAGCGGAGGAA
Molecule: ribosomal RNA, 709 nt
Filed under: Candolleomyces candolleanus
Lineage: Eukaryota; Fungi; Basidiomycota; Agaricomycetes; Agaricales; Psathyrellaceae
Description: eukaryotic LSU rRNA
Rfam family: 5.8S ribosomal RNA (bases 287-440)
Source: RNAcentral